AGCUGCCAGGGCAGUGGAGCAAGGCCUGGUGGUUACCGUCUGUUGGAAUGGGAGGGACACUGGAAUGAGCUGGGACUGGCUGUAGGAGCUGCUGAUCCAGCCCUGGUCUGAUUCAGAACCUAGCAGAAGGAGAUGAAGCCAGAUGUCUUGACAGAGGCCUGUAAUUCCAGUUACAUGGAAGACUGAGGCAGGAGGAUCACAAGUUCAAGAACCCAGGACCAGCAGCCCAGAGGCAGCACCACACACAGUGGACUGAGCCCCUCUCCCCGCCAAUCACUAAUUCAGAAAGUGUGCUACAGAUUUGCCUGCAGCCUGAUCUCAUGAAGGCAUGUUCUCAGUUGAAGUUCCCUUUCCUCUGACGACUCUAGCUUGUGUUAGAGCACCAUAAAACUACCUGGCACAGAAUACUUAAAGACCCAAACAGUUGCUUAGAUCUUAGUCAGAUAAAUAAACUGUGAAAAACUAUUUGUAAAAAUCAAGGAAAUUUCAACAAUAAAUGGGGUUCUGAUG
Meriones unguiculatus (Mongolian gerbil) is the source of this 510-nucleotide long non-coding RNA. RefSeq lists it as uncharacterized. NCBI's taxonomy places the organism in Eukaryota, Metazoa, Chordata, Mammalia, Rodentia, Muridae. The transcript is spliced from 3 exons. The record is from RefSeq and is a predicted model, not a curated record.